RNAcentral lists this ribosomal RNA (465 nucleotides) under uncultured bacterium. RNAcentral's name for it is "partial 16S ribosomal RNA". It matches the Rfam family "Bacterial small subunit ribosomal RNA", at positions 28 to 507 of the family's 1533-position model. The record is from RNAcentral.
GACGAACGCUGGCGGCGUGCUUAACACAUGCAAGUCGAACGGAAAGGCCCUGCUUGCAGGGUACUCGAGUGGCGAACGGGUGAGUAACACGUGGGUGAUCUGCCCUGCACUUCGGGAUAAGCUUGGGAAACUGGGUCUAAUACCGGAUAGGAGCCAUCUUUAGUGUGGUGGUUGGAAAGUUUUUUCGGUGUAGGAUGAGCUCGCGGCCUAUCAGCUUGUUGGUGGGGUAAUGGCCUACCAAGGCGGCGACGGGUAGCCGGCCUGAGAGGGUGUACGGCCACAUUGGGACUGAGAUACGGCCCAGACUCCUACGGGAGGCAGCAGUGGGGAAGAUUGCACAAUGGGCGCAAGCCUGAUGCAGCGACGCCGCGUGGGGGAUGAAGGCCUUCGGGUUGGAAACUCCUUUCGCUAGGGACGAAGCUUUUUGUGACGGUACCUAGAUAAGAAGCACCGGCUAACUACGUG